GCUGGGCAGGGUGGUGCACCCCUGUAAUCCCAGCUGCUCAGGAGGCUGAGGCAGGAGGAUUGUGAGUUCAAAGCCAUCCUCACCAAAAGUGAGGUGCUAAGCAAUUCAGUUAGACUCUGUCUCUA
RNAcentral lists this small RNA (125 nucleotides) under Marmota monax (woodchuck). The record is from RNAcentral. Lineage: Eukaryota; Metazoa; Chordata; Mammalia; Rodentia; Sciuridae.